AUUAUGGGUCAGAACCAACAUGGAAGCAGAGAGAAACAUAUGGUCCUAAAAUAACCUUAUUCUGCAUGUGGUCCAGGAAGUUCACAUGUAUUGCAGAGCCUCCACCUGGGACUUGCAUGACAAUGGUGAAGAUCAAGAGGAAGCUACUGACACAAUGAAGGAAGCCCUGACCACUGCCAGAGAUUGAGGACCUUCAUUGCUACCGUAAACGGCAGUAGCAUAACAGACAAGAGCUGCACUUAAAGGAGCAUCUAGCUCUGUGCGGAUUUUAGGCAUUCCCGUUGAGAAGGCUACAGACCAACUUCACCAUGUAUCAGCAAGAAAAGGGAUUCCAUCCUUCGAUGACCAACUGUAAUGUGGAAAACGGCAAUA
This is a long non-coding RNA of Mobula hypostoma (lesser devil ray), 372 nucleotides long. RefSeq lists it as uncharacterized. Lineage: Eukaryota; Metazoa; Chordata; Chondrichthyes; Myliobatiformes; Myliobatidae. The transcript is spliced from 3 exons. The record is from RefSeq and is a predicted model, not a curated record.